Molecule: ribosomal RNA, 465 nt
Filed under: Vreelandella stevensii
Lineage: Bacteria; Pseudomonadati; Pseudomonadota; Gammaproteobacteria; Oceanospirillales; Halomonadaceae
Description: partial 16S ribosomal RNA
Rfam family: Bacterial small subunit ribosomal RNA
Source: RNAcentral
CCUACGGGUGGCAGCAGUGGGGAAUAUUGGACAAUGGGGGGAACCCUGAUCCAGCCAUGCCGCGUGUGUGAAGAAGGCCCUCGGGUUGUAAAGCACUUUCAGUGAGGAAGAACGCCUGGUGGUUAAUACCCAUCAGGAAAGACAUCACUCACAGAAGAAGCACCGGCUAACUCCGUGCCAGCAGCCGCGGUAAUACGGAGGGUGCGAGCGUUAAUCGGAAUUACUGGGCGUAAAGCGCGCGUAGGUGGCUUGAUAAGCCGGUUGUGAAAGCCCCGGGCUCAACCUGGGAACGGCAUCCGGAACUGUCAAGCUAGAGUGCAGGAGAGGAAGGUAGAAUUCCCGGUGUAGCGGUGAAAUGCGUAGAGAUCGGGAGGAAUACCAGUGGCGAAGGCGGCCUUCUGGACUGACACUGACACUGAGGUGCGAAAGCGUGGGUAGCAAACAGGAUUAGAUACCUCGGUAGUC